UACAGAGGGGGCAAGCGUUGUUUGGAAUUACUGGGCGUAAAGGGCGCGUAGGCGGCCUUCUAAGUCGAACGUGAAAUCCCCGGGCUCAACCCGGGAACUGCGUCCGAUACUGGAAGGCUUGAAUUCGGGAGAGGGAUGCGGAAUUCCAGGUGUAGCGGUGAAAUGCGUAGAUAUCUGGAGGAACACCGGUGGCGAAGGCGGCAUCCUGGACCGGCAUUGACGCUGAGGCGCGAAAGCCAGGGGAGCAAACGGG
RNAcentral lists this ribosomal RNA (253 nucleotides) under uncultured bacterium. RNAcentral's name for it is "partial 16S ribosomal RNA". It matches the Rfam family "Bacterial small subunit ribosomal RNA", at positions 524 to 776 of the family's 1533-position model. The record is from RNAcentral.